UACGUAGGGGGCAAGCGUUGUUCGGAAUUACUGGGCGUAAAGGGCGCGUAGGCGGCCUUAUAAGUCAUUUGUGAAAGCUCUGGGCUCAACCCAGGAAUUGCAAGUGAUACUGUAAGGCUUGAGUUCGGUAGAGGAGGGCGGAAUUCCAGGUGUAGCGGUGAAAUGCGUAGAUAUCUGGAGGAACACCCGUGGCGAAGGCGGCUCUCUGGUCCGAAACUGACGCUGAGGUGCGAAAGCUAGGGUAGCAAACAGG
Molecule: ribosomal RNA, 253 nt
Filed under: uncultured bacterium
Lineage: Bacteria
Description: partial 16S ribosomal RNA
Rfam family: Bacterial small subunit ribosomal RNA
Source: RNAcentral